CAGGCCUAACACAUGCAAGUCGAACGAGACCUUCGGGUCUAGUGGCGCACGGGUGCGUAACGCGUGGGAAUCUGCCCUUGGGUUCGGGAUAACAGUUGGAAACGACUGCUAAUACCGGAUGAUGUCUUCGGACCAAAGAUUUAUCGCCCAAGGAUGAGCCCGCGUAGGAUUAGCUUGUUGGUGAGGUAAGAGCUCACCAAGGCGACGAUCCUUAGCUGGUCUGAGAGGAUGAUCAGCCACACUGGGACUGAGACACGGCCCAGACUCCUACGGGAGGCAGCAGUGGGGAAUAUUGGACAAUGGGCGAAAGCCUGAUCCAGCAAUGCCGCGUGAGUGAUGAAGGCCUUAGGGUUGUAAAGCUCUUUUACCCGGGAUGAUAAUGACAGUGCCGGGAGAAUAAGCCCCGGCUAACUCCGUGCCAGCAGCCGCGGUAAUACGGAGGGGGCUAGCGUUGUUCGGAAUUACUGGGCGUAAAGCGCGCGUAGGCGGCUUUGUAAGUUAGAGGUGAA
Molecule: ribosomal RNA, 509 nt
Filed under: uncultured Pseudomonadota bacterium
Lineage: Bacteria; Pseudomonadati; Pseudomonadota
Description: bacterial SSU rRNA
Rfam family: Bacterial small subunit ribosomal RNA
Source: RNAcentral